RNAcentral lists this ribosomal RNA (253 nucleotides) under uncultured bacterium. RNAcentral's name for it is "partial 16S ribosomal RNA". It matches the Rfam family "Bacterial small subunit ribosomal RNA", at positions 524 to 776 of the family's 1533-position model. The record is from RNAcentral.
UACGGAGGGUGCAAGCGUUAAUCGGAAUUACUGGGCGUAAAGAGCACGUAGGCGGUUGGGUAAGUUAGAUGUGAAAUCCCCGGGCUUAACCUGGGAGCUGCAUUUAAAACUGUCUGGCUAGAGUUCGGUAGAGGGGGGUGGAAUUUCCGGUGUAGCGGUGAAAUGCGUAGAGAUCGGAAGGAACAUCAGUGGCGAAGGCGGCCCCCUGGACUAGGACUGACGCUGAGGUGCGAAAGCGUGGGGAGCAAACAGG